This 176-nucleotide non-coding RNA is filed under the name Orenia metallireducens. RNAcentral describes it as "Lysine riboswitch aptamer". It matches the Rfam family "Lysine riboswitch aptamer". Rfam says of the family: Riboswitches are metabolite binding domains within certain messenger RNAs that serve as precision sensors for their corresponding targets. RNAcentral also lists the same sequence under 1 other name. Lineage: Bacteria; Bacillati; Bacillota; Clostridia; Halanaerobiales; Halobacteroidaceae. The record is from Rfam by way of RNAcentral.
GAUUAAGAUUGAGGUGCAGGAAUCAUGAGUAGUUAUGGGGAGCUAGCCAGCCUUGAACCAUAAUAAAAGGGGUUACUGCCGAAAUCUAGUUUGCUUGGCUAAGCUAAUUAGGUUGGGUCUGUACUUAAUAGGUACAGAACUGUCACUAGUCUUUCUAGUGGGGUGCUAUCUUAUCG